UUUUAUACGGCCGCAAAAAAAUUUUGUGGUCGUAUAUUGGUAUGACGGCGUCGUCGUCGUCGUCGUCGUCGUCGUCGUCGUCCGGCGUCGUCGUCCGAAGACACAUUGGUUUUCGCACUCUAACUUUAGUUUAAGUGAAUGGAUCUCCAUGAAAUUUUACCAUAAGGUUAAAUACCACAAAAGGAAGGUGGGGAUUGAUUUUGGGGGUUAUGGUACCAACAGUUAAGGAAUUAGGGGCCAAAAAGGGGCCAAAAAUAAGCAUUUUCUAGUUUCCAGACAAUAACUGUGGAACGGUGUAUGGAUCUCUCUGAAAUUAUACUACAAGUUUCCAUACCACAAAGGGAUGGUUAGGAUUUGC
Long non-coding RNA from Mytilus californianus (California mussel), 358 nucleotides. RefSeq lists it as uncharacterized. Lineage: Eukaryota; Metazoa; Mollusca; Bivalvia; Mytilida; Mytilidae. The transcript is spliced from 2 exons. The record is from RefSeq and is a predicted model, not a curated record.